AACGAACGCUGGCGGCAUGCCUAACACAUGCAAGUCGAACGAGACCUUCGGGUCUAGUGGCGCACGGGUUCGUAACGCGUGGGAACCUGCCCUUAGGUUCGGAAUAACUCCCCGAAAGGGGUGCUAAUACCGGAUAAUGUCUUCGGACCAAAGAUUUAUCGCCUUUGGAUGGGCCCGCGUUGGAUUAGCUAGUUGGUAGGGUAAAAGCCUACCAAGGCGAGGAUACAUAGCUGGUCUGAGAGGAUGAUCAGCCACACUGGGACUGAGACACGGCCCAGAAUACUACGGGAGGGAGCAGUGGGGAAUAUUGGAAAAUGGGCGAAAGGCUGAACCAGCAAUGACGGGUGAGUGAUGAAGGGCUUAGGGUAGUAAAGCUCUAUUAAAAGGGAAGAUAAUGACAGUAACGGGAGAAUAAGCACCGGCUAACUACGUG
Molecule: ribosomal RNA, 433 nt
Filed under: uncultured bacterium
Lineage: Bacteria
Description: partial 16S ribosomal RNA
Rfam family: Bacterial small subunit ribosomal RNA
Source: RNAcentral